UCUUUGUUUGCCUUUUUAGGGGAGGUCUUUGUUUGCUUGGAUUGAUGCGCACGACUGACACAAUUUACAACAUUUUUUGACUGACGGCAUAGACCAUAGUUUCAGUUUUACAAUGUUUCCAGAGAGAGUAUAAUACUGAUGCUCCAUUUAUUUCAGAGAAGAAAAAGGUUCCAUGAGGGUGUCUAUUACAAAAGUGGAGAAAGAGCUCGCCUACCAUGCAUGUUGCCUGGUCCGAUGAGCAGUGCUACGCCAAGUGCCCUGUCAGAGUGCAGCCACACAAUGCUGCCUGCUGUUGAGGACCCCGGAGACUGGACAGUUAGCUUGGCAACUUCCAGCCCCCCACCGCCUUUCUUGACAGCCACGGCACCCAUCUUUUCGUCUAUGCCUCAUUGGAUGCACUUCUAUUUGUGCUACCAAACUUUUUCACGAAAAGUGUAGUACCAGGUGGUGUGAUAUCAUGUCCUUAGCAACGCCCCCGAUGGAAUGACCACGACCAUGUUGUUGCCUGGAGUGUUUUUUCAUGAUGAUGUCGCUAUUCGCCAUCCCACAAUUUAUGCGGUGGAGCGUCAACGACCUCGGCGUGUUGCAUGAGAAGACCAUGAAUAUCG
Molecule: long non-coding RNA, 608 nt
Organism: Triticum dicoccoides
Lineage: Eukaryota; Viridiplantae; Streptophyta; Magnoliopsida; Poales; Poaceae
Exons: 3
Source: RefSeq, a predicted model, not a curated record